UACCAUGCAGUCGAGCGGAGAUGAGGUGCUUGCACCUUAUCUUAGCGGCGGACGGGUGAGUAAUGCUUAGGAAUCUGCCUAUUAGUGGGGGACAACAUUCCGAAAGGAAUGCUAAUACCGCAUACGUCCUACGGGAGAAAGCAGGGGAUCUUCGGACCUUGCGCUAAUAGAUGAGCCUAAGUCGGAUUAGCUAGUUGGUGGGGUAAAGGCCUACCAAGGCGACGAUCUGUAGCGGGUCUGAGAGGAUGAUCCGCCACACUGGGACUGAGACACGGCCCAGACUCCUACGGGAGGCAGCAGUGGGGAAUAUUGGACAAUGGGGGGAACCCUGAUCCAGCCAUGCCGCGUGUGUGAAGAAGGCCUUAUGGUUGUAAAGCACUUUAAGCGAGGAGGAGGCUACUGAGACUAAUACUCUUGGAUAGUGGACGUUACUCGCAGAAUAAGCACCGGCUAACUCUGUGCCAGCAGCCGCGGUAAUACAGAGGGUGCGAGCGUUAAUCGGAUUUACUGGGCGUAAAGCGUGCGUAGGCGGCUUUUUAAGUCGGAUGUGAAAUCCCCGAGCUUAACUUGGGAAUUGCAUUCGAUACUGGGAAGCUAGAGUAUGGGAGAGGAUGGUAGAAUUCCAGGUGUAGCGGUGAAAUGCGUAGAGAUCUGGAGGAAUACCGAUGGCGAAGGCAGCCAUCUGGCCUAAUACUGACGCUGAGGUACGAAAGCAUGGGGAGCAAACAGGAUUAGAUACCCUGGUAG
Molecule: ribosomal RNA, 747 nt
Filed under: uncultured bacterium
Lineage: Bacteria
Description: bacterial SSU rRNA
Rfam family: Bacterial small subunit ribosomal RNA
Source: RNAcentral